This 372-nucleotide ribosomal RNA is filed under the name uncultured bacterium. RNAcentral's name for it is "bacterial SSU rRNA". It matches the Rfam family "Bacterial small subunit ribosomal RNA", at positions 29 to 391 of the family's 1533-position model. The record is from RNAcentral.
AACGAACGCUGGCGGCGCGCCUAAUACAUGCAAGUCGAGCGAGAAGACGUAGCAAUACGUUUGUAAAGCGGCGAACGGGUGAGGAAUACAUGGGUAACCUACCCUCGAGUGGGGAAGUAACUAGCCGAAGGUUAGCUAAUACCGCGUACGCUCCUUGGACUUCGGUUCAGGGAGGAAAGCGAUACCGUGGGUAUCGCGCUCUUGGAUGGGCUCAUGUCCUAUCAGCUUGUUGGUGAGGUAACGGCUCACCAAGGCUUCGACGGGUAGCUGGUCUGAGAGGACGAUCAGCCACACUGGCACUGCGACACGGGCCAGACUCCUACGGGAGGCAGCAGUAAGGAAUAUUGCGCAAUGGGCGAAAGCCUGACGCAG